CAGGAACUGUUCACAGAAAAGUGAGAAGCCAUGUAGAAUGACUGGGAAAGGAGACCACUGGGUGAAAUAAAACUUGUCAUCUUUUGGAUUAGAAGAGAGAGGGAAAAAGAACCUUUUUUCUCUAGUGUUGGGUAGAGAAAAGCAAAUAAUUUUGAGGCUUUCAGAAGCAGGACAGAGGCAAAAAAAAAAAAAAGGUUUUUUUGUUAGUUUUUCUUGUUUUCUUAUUCUUAAAGUCUUUGGCAGAAGAAUGAAGGAAGGCAAGCUGAGUUUCUUUUGAACAGCUGUGAGGCAAAGAAAAGAAAGAUGUGCAAGGUGUGUGUUCAU
Molecule: long non-coding RNA, 324 nt
Organism: Gallus gallus (chicken)
Lineage: Eukaryota; Metazoa; Chordata; Aves; Galliformes; Phasianidae
Source: Ensembl